AUGUAAGUUUAAAAGAAGUGCGUUGUUUAAUUAGCUGUUAUUCGAACCGGGCAGUCAGGGUCUCCAAAACUAGCGCACCUCAAAAUCCUGCUGCUAAUUGGGGGUAAUAAGGGUUAUAAUAUGGUAUAAGGCAGUAAUAAUAAUAUAAUAUUUAUUAAUGAUAACAAUAGGUGUUAACAAUAUGUGACUUUUGUUUAAACCUUUCUAUUACUUUUGUAUUAAUUAUCUAUUCCGUUUUUCCCCCUUUAGUUCAUUAUAAUUCUUGUUUUGGUGGCUGCUAAAACUGGGUAGGAACCUCUAGCUUACAGCAGGAGAGUUGUCCAUCAAGUGUUGUUUCUUGGAAAAAAUCCAGAAAAUGUAUAUUAGUGCCUUUAUAGUUACUAGGUGAGUUUAUCUUACUAUUUUUGACUUUGUGUGUGUUUUUCUGAAGCUCUAUGUUUAUAAUAGUAAUAGUCCAUUAUUGAAAGUUGUCAUAAAUCAUGUGUUUUAUUUUACAAAGGGAUCAUUUUGCUGAUUUAAUUCUUCCUCAAAUGUUUUCAAAUUAAUACAUUUAGUUUGAUAACAAAUAUAACUGUGAUUCACGUUCAUUUUUAUUCUUUAUUUAAAAUAUAUACUAAGGACAUUACGAUACAGCUGUCCAAUCAAUCUCUGUGACCUCAAAUGUCAGAUAAAAAUGUGGUAAAAUCGGAUGGCUUCAAGCAAAACAUCCUGCAAGGCACGGAUAUGCCUGUGACAGAGGGGAGGAGGGAUGCAGAGUAAAUUUCCACUCUCUACUCUGGGCAGAUUUGUUGGAAAUUUCCAUUUGUUGUCAAACAUCAUUUCCCAGAAGGCUUUGCGUGGAUUAGGUGGGUGCUCAUUGGUUGAGCCACAGUUAAAGAAGUGAAACCAGGAAGUGGAUUGUUUAAAACAGGUUUUGGAUCAAUUUUACUAUACUGCUUUAGACCUGCAGGUGGUUUUGUUUGUAGAAGCUCCUUUAACAUCUAUCUAGUUUUAUAAUUUUAUCAUUUUUGAGGUUGUGAAUGAUUUUAAAUGAAUGUGGUGUUGAGUAUAUCUGUAAUCUGUGCAACACUGUUUAUUCAUAUGUUAAAGAGCAAGUCACUCCCUUCCAAAAUCUUACUCCAAUCCCACUUUCUGUUUGAAAAAUGCAACAAAUGCUGUUGCCUGGCAGACCGAGAGGGCGGAGCCACUAACAAAUGCACACACACACACACACACACACACACACACACACACACACAGGCUCACAAUGACAUUGUGACAUCAUAUGGUACCAACUAACGUUCUAGGGUACCUCUUAGCCAAUAGCAAUGGCAGAUUUAAAUUUGAAUGCAGUGCAGAUGUUUUACCUGACAAUGGCACAACACUGACUGUUUUAGGCAGAAAAUUAAAAUUUUAACUAAAAUUCACUAAAGUGCAAAACUAUUUACUACACGUGUCUGCUGCAUGAUUAGACACGAAUUUAUAUAGUUUAUCAGGAAAAAAAGUUGAUUUGGGGGUGAGUUGCUCUUUAAUGAGAGAAUAAUUCAUUUUAAACCUGUGGUGAAUGGUUUACUUUAUAUAUGGUGUAAUUUAUUUCAGUUGAAAAAAUUGCACUUGCAUUUUUAAAUUUACAUGAAAGGACUGUCUUCUGUGGCUGUUCACUGGCAUCACUAGGCACUGUAAUAAUAAUAAUCAAUUUAGAAAUUACUGAAAAGGUCACUUGGUUUAAUGUGAACAGAAAACCUUCUUAGUACUCAAAAAAUUCAGCAAAACAGCUAAAGUGAUUAAACUUUUAAUUUGCUGACAGGAAAAAAUACCAAGUCGGGUCUUUAGUUACUGUAUAAAAGGUUCAGAAUUUCAUAUAUUACCUUUGUUUGUUAAAUUUGUUGGUUUUAUUUUGGUGGGAAUUCAGGAAGUGGCAUGCUUUUAUUUUGAAGAGUCUUUCACAGUGAGGUCACUUCCAACACUAGAAUUUUCCCUUUCUUUCCUUUUUGGUGGUUGUGAGACCAGUGUUCCUUCAUUCACCUGCAAGUCAUGUUGAUGUUGUCAGCAUUAUGUUAAUGCAAGAAAACUGUUGUCAAUGCGGUUAACGAUGAUCAUCAACCAAGAUUAAAGACUUGGAUCUACAUCAAAGGACGUAUCUUAGCCUCUUCCUGUAUUCUAACCGAUACACCAUAUUGAUAGCCGCCUCACCUGGAAAGAGCUAGCUUUAACCAAACCCUCCUUUACAAUGGUCCUUCGAGCCGGAUAAGGGCUAUCAAUAUAGAUCCAGAUAAAGAGAUGCAUCCUACUGUGAGACCUAAACGGCAGAUCAGCCGACCCAGCAGAUUUGAGGGGCAGUUUGAAGUAAGUUACACUGGAGCUCCUCCCGGAAACAGACCUCAGUGGAAUCUCCUGCCAUCUCUAAGCAGAAGAAUAGAUCCUGAACUUCAGCACAGCCAAAGCCAACCUGCUUCAUUCACUCCUCCCUCUAUAAGAGAGAUCCCCCACGGUACUCCCUUCCUUUCGAGACCAAGCCAUCUGUGGUGUAACAUAAGUAGAGAUCCCUGCCUUGAACCUAUAACUCCCUAUUUUCAGGAAUCCCCAUCAGCCUUGUCUCUGCAUGCAGAACUUAGAGCAACCCAUGAAGAGAGAAGACAGCUGCUUCAAGCACAGAGGGAGUUGAAAGAUGGUUUGAAGGAGCUGAAUGAAGCGAGAACUGAAAUUAAAGCCCUAAUCGAAGCCACACACGCCCUGCAAAUGGACAUGAAUCAGCUGCAUCGCAACAUUCCCCAUCAUACCCCAUCACAAGGUAGCAUGGACAGACCUAGGAGCCAUUUUCCUACCACCGAUCUGAAAGAAUAAGAGGAAGAGUGGUCCGAUCCUCCACCAUGGCAAGAACCCGAGGACCAAAACAGUAGCUUAUAUGACCUCAAAGCCAUGGAUCAAGAUUUUCAACCAAUCUAGCGAUCUUCCCUUUUCAAAGGUGCAUCCCUUUCACACUACAAGCCUGCCCAGCUUACCCAGAAUACAGCCCAGUUUGAGGCUACUGCUAAGGAGAGCGAGGUAAUGCAUCCUACAUUUGCACCUUACCCGCCAUCCUUUUACCACCCGGCUCCAACCAAUGUAGACUUCUUUUCUGGAAAGCCCUCAGCUACCAAACAUUCAUUUACAGCUACAGGUGCCGGUCAAACACAGCAACCCCCCUGCAGAGAUGAUAUUUCCCCUACAGUUGAGGUAGUGUAUAGAGGACCUAAACCUACCAUACCAAAGUUUAUUCAUUCAGACCCCUGCGAGUUUGCAAGACUUCGUAUUGCACUCGAAAACUUGCUGACCUCUAACGCUACAGAGCUGUUCGAAUUUCAAAUUCUUGUGGACCAUUUGAAACUAGAUGAAGCUAAGCUUAUUGCUGACGCUUAUUUUAACUCACCCAACCCUUGCCUUACCAUGACUGCUCUUCAUGAUAAAUUUGGACAACCACAUCAGCUUGCUCUAAAAAAGAUAGCAAGUGUUCUUGAUGGUCCUGAAAUAAGGUGAGGUGAUCCAAUAGCCUUCCAGAAGUUCUCCCUCCAGGUGCAGUCCCUAGUAGGCCUGUUGCAAACCUUAGGCCUGGAAGGACAAGUAGAACUUAACUGUGGGUCACAUGUAGCUCGACUCUUAGGCAAGCUACCUCCAGAGCAAUGGGCUGACUUUCGACGGCACUAGUUCAAACAGCCUGGGAAAUCCUACACCCUACAUGACCUCUCUGACUGGCUCCAUUAUGAAUCAUAGUGUCAGGGCUUUGACAGCCAGACCACAGAAAAGGGUGGUAGAGAAAGAAACAGCUCAAAAUAUGAAUGACGAACUGGUAAACAGACGGUUACAGCCCUCCAUAACAUUAAAGGAUCUUCAAGAAUUGGUUCGCUGACAUCUAAGGAAAGUGCAACAAAGGGAGCAAGCAAAGGCAAAGCUUUCUGCGCUCAUUGUGAGAGCACUGAGCACUAUUUCAGUCAAUGCAGUGAUGUUGCAGAGCUCUCUAAGGAACAAUUAAAGGACUGGAUUCAGGAAAACAAAAGAUGUUUGCAAUGUGCACGACUCACUUAGCUGCACAAUGCACGCUAAAGAAACCUUUUAGCCUCUGUCAAGGAAAACACCUACUGGCACUCCACGAGGUUAACACAAGAACCCAGAAAGCCAGUCAAGAUGUAGCUGUGAGUGAGGAGAGCUGCCUAACCAGUUCAGCGACGGAUUUCUUCUACAUUGACAGACCAGGCGUUGGGAACUGUGUCAUGCUGAAGGUGGUACCUGUAUCCCUUAGCUCUGGAACACGAUCCCUAAAUACAUUUGCAAUACUUGAUGACGGAUCAGAGAGGACAAUGCUACUUCCUGGUGCAGCCAAAGCUCUUGGUCUGAGAGGCACACUAGAGAACCUUCCUCUACGUACAGUACGUCAGGAUAUUCAGUUAUUGCAAGGUCAUACUGUGUCCUUCAGACUCUCUUCAGCUACUGAACCUAGUUGCAGCUUCCAGAUUGAUGGGGCGUUUACCUCUAAUCGACUGAACUUAGCUCACCACACAUACCCUGUUGAACAACUUCAAAGGAAGUUUGGACACCUGCAUGGGAUUCCAGUACCUGCUCUAAAGGAUGCUAAGCCACUGCUCCUCAUUGGUUCAGACCAGCCUCAUCUGAUAACCCCUACUGAACCAGUCAGGCUUGGCCCACCUGGCAGUCCAGCAGCAGUUCACACCAAACCUGGGUGGACACUCCCAAGGACCUAGUACUUCCAUGGGGCAGCUCUCUAAUUCCGCCCUUUGUCUGUACACCUCUUCCAGAGCUGAAUAAUUAUUUACACACAUGGAGAGACUUUGGCAAGUGGACAUUGUACAAUACAGAUCUGAGAAAUCUGUAACACGAUCAAAGCAAGACCAUCAGGCUGUAGCACUGCUCAAGACUAAGACAGUUUGUACCAUGGUGGAUGGAGUUCUCAGGUACGUUACACCCCUCCUCCUUCAUGACCACAUGCCACUCAUGCAGGCACCAAAGGAAUCCAUCAUGCCUUUGCUUCGAAGUACCGAGAGACGGCUCCUGAAAGAGAACAGUUGAGCAGAGGCCUAUAGGACUGAAAUGCAGAAACUAAUUGACGCUGGUGCUAGGAGGUUUCUGAAGACAAACUGUUGGGUAUUUUUAUAAUUGUACCUUUUUGAGGCCUAAAAGCUGCCCAAUUUGUGUUAUUAACACUUCUUGAAUUUCUGUGUUUGCCAACUGGUUCAUGAAAAGUUGAGCAGAGAAGCUCAUUUGCAGUCAAGGAUGUUGAUUGUGGAUUUCCAGGAUGUUGAUUGUGGAUUUCCAAAGAAACCUUUGUACCUCUGUAACCUGAGAAGGCCCCGCCUUCUCCAUCCUUUGCUGAAUAAAGCCCCUGACGAUCUGAGAACACAUGGGAGUGAUGUGGGGAAGCCUCGGAGGAGGGUCCUCUGCGUUAACUCUCCAUAUUUUGGGGACUCAGGGUAAAAUGUC
Molecule: long non-coding RNA, 5451 nt
Organism: Nothobranchius furzeri (turquoise killifish)
Lineage: Eukaryota; Metazoa; Chordata; Actinopteri; Cyprinodontiformes; Nothobranchiidae
Source: RefSeq, a predicted model, not a curated record